UGGGGAAUUUUGCACAAUGGGGGAAACCCUGAUGCAGCGACGCCGCGUGAUUUAGAAGGCCUUCGGGUUGUAAAAAUCUUUUGUAUAGGAAGAAAAUGACAGUACUAUACGAAUAAGGACCGGCUAAUUACGUGCCAGCAGCCGCGGUAAUACGUAAGGUCCGAGCGUUGUCCGGAAUCAUUGGGCGUAAAGGGUACGUAGGCGGGUAAGCAAGUUAGAAGUGAAAUCCUAUAGCUCAACUAUAGUAAGCUUUUAAAACUGCUCAUCUUGAGGUAUGGAAGGGAAAGUGGAAUUCCUAGUGUAGCGGUGAAAUGCGCAGAUAUUAGGAGGAAUACCGGUGGCGAAGGCGACUUUCUGGCCAUAACCUGACGCUGAGGUACGAAAGCGUGGGUAGCAAACAG
This 401-nucleotide ribosomal RNA is filed under the name Bacteroidota bacterium. Its description in RNAcentral is "Bacteroidetes bacterium partial 16S ribosomal RNA". It matches the Rfam family "Bacterial small subunit ribosomal RNA", at positions 355 to 775 of the family's 1533-position model. Lineage: Bacteria; Pseudomonadati; Bacteroidota. The record is from RNAcentral.